Molecule: transfer RNA, 73 nt
Filed under: Streptomyces fumigatiscleroticus
Lineage: Bacteria; Bacillati; Actinomycetota; Actinomycetes; Kitasatosporales; Streptomycetaceae
Description: tRNA-Thr
Rfam family: tRNA
About the family: Transfer RNA (tRNA) molecules are approximately 80 nucleotides in length. Their secondary structure includes four short double-helical elements and three loops (D, anti-codon, and T loops).
Source: RNAcentral
GCCCUUUUAACUCAGUAGUAGAGUAACGCCAUAGUAAGGUGUAGAUCAUCAGUUCAAAUCUAAUAAAGGGCUC